GGUUAAGUUAGAAAGGGCGCACGGUGGAUGCCUUGGCACUAGGAGCCGAUGAAGGACGGGACGAACACCGAUAUGCUUCGGGGAGCUGUAAGCAAGCUUUGAUCCGGAGAUUUCCGAAUGGGGAAACCCACCACUCGUAAUGGAGUGGUAUCCAUAUCUGAAUACAUAGGAUAUGAGAAGGCAGACCCGGGGAACUGAAACAUCUAAGUACCCGGAGGAAGAGAAAGCAAAUGCGAUUCCCUGAGUAGCGGCGAGCGAAACGGGACCAGCCCAAACCAAGAGGCUUGCCUCUUGGGGUUGUAGGACACUCUGUACGGAGUUACAAAGGAACGAGGUAGAUGAAGAGGUCUGGAAAGGCCUGUUAUAGGAGGUAACAGCCCUGUAGUCAAAACUUCGUUCUCUCCUGAGUGGAUCCUGAGUACGGCGGAACACGUGAAAUUCCGUCGGAAUCCGGGAGGACCAUCUCCCAAGGCUAAAUACUCCCUAGUGACCGAUAGUGAACCAGUACCGUGAGGGAAAGGUGAAAAGCACCCCGGAAGGGGAGUGAAAGAGAUCUUGAACCGGUGGCCCUACAAGCGGUAUGCGCCGGGUGGUUGGUGAUGGCGUGCCUUUUGUAGAAUGAACCGGCGAGUUACGAUCCCGUGCAAGGUUAAGCAGAAGAUGCGGAGCCGCAGCGAAAGCGAGUCUGAAUAGGGCGAAUUGAGUACGUGGUCGUAGACCCGAAACCAGGUGAUCUACCCAUGUCCAGGGUGAAGUUCAGGUAACACUGAAUGGAGGCCCGAACCCACGCACGUUGAAAAGUGCGGGGAUGAGGUGUGGGUAGGGGUGAAAUGCCAAUCGAACCUGGAGAUAGCUGGUUCUCUCCGAAAUAGCUUUAGGGCUAGCCUCAAGGUAAGAGUCUCGGAGGUAGAGCACUGAUUGGACUAGGGGCCCCUACCGGGUUACCGAAUUCAGUCAAACUCCGAAUGCCGAUGACUUAUCCUUGGGAGUCAGACUGCGAGUGAUAAGAUCCGUAGUCGAAAGGGAAACAGCCCAGACCGCCAGCUAAGGUCCCAAAGUAUACGUUAAGUGGAAAAGGAUGUGGAGUUGCUUAGACAACCAGGAUGUUGGCUUAGAAGCAGCCACCAUUUAAAGAGUGCGUAAUAGCUCACUGGUCGAGUGACUCUGCGCCGAAAAUGUACCGGGGCUAAACGUAUCACCGAAGCUGCGGACUGUUCUUCGAACAGUGGUAGGAGAGCGUUCUAAGGGCUGUGAAGCAAGACCGGAAGGACUUGUGGAGCGCUUAGAAGUGAGAAUGCCGGUAUGAGUAGCGAAAGAGGGGUGAGAAUCCCCUCCACCGAAUGCCUAAGGUUUCCUGAGGAAGGCUCGUCCGCUCAGGGUUAGUCGGGACCUAAGCCGAGGCCGAAAGGCGUAGGCGAUGGAUAACAGGUUGAUAUUCCUGUACCACCUCCUCACCAUUUGAGCAAUGGGGGGACGCAGGAGGAUAGGGUAAGCGCGGUAUUGGAUAUCCGCGUCCAAGCAGUUAGGCUGGGAAAUAGGCAAAUCCGUUUCCCGUGAAGGCUGAGCUGUGAUGGCGAGCGAAUUAUAGUAGCGAAGUUCCUGAUUCCACACUGCCAAGAAAAGCCUCUAGCGAGGUGAGAGGUGCCCGUACCGCAAACCGACACAGGUAGGCGAGGAGAGAAUCCUAAGGUGAUCGAGAGAACUCUCGUUAAGGAACUCGGCAAAAUGACCCCGUAACUUCGGGAGAAGGGGUGCUCUGUUAGGGUGCAAGCCCGAGAGAGCCGCAGUGAAUAGGCCCAGGCGACUGUUUAGCAAAAACACAGGUCUCUGCGAAGCCGUAAGGCGAAGUAUAGGGGCUGACGCCUGCCCGGUGCUGGAAGGUUAAGAGGAGCGCUUAGCGUAAGCGAAGGUGCGAAUUGAAGCCCCAGUAAACGGCGGCCGUAACUAUAACGGUCCUAAGGUAGCGAAAUUCCUUGUCGGGUAAGUUCCGACCCGCACGAAAGGCGCAACGAUCUGGGCACUGUCUCAACGAGAGACUCGGUGAAAUUAUAGUACCUGUGAAGAUGCAGGUUACCCGCGACAGGACGGAAAGACCCCGUGGAGCUUUACUGCAGCCUGAUAUUGAAUGUUGGUACAGCUUGUACAGGAUAGGUAGGAGCCUUGGAAACCGGAGCGCCAGCUUCGGUGGAGGCAUCGGUGGGAUACUACCCUGGCUGUAUUGACCUUCUAACCCGCCGCCCUUAUCGGGCGGGGAGACAGUGUCAGGUGGGCAGUUUGACUGGGGCGGUCGCCUCCUAAAAGGUAACGGAGGCGCCCAAAGGUUCCCUCAGAAUGGUUGGAAAUCAUUCGCAGAGUGUAAAGGCACAAGGGAGCUUGACUGCGAGACCUACAAGUCGAGCAGGGACGAAAGUCGGGCUUAGUGAUCCGGUGGUUCCGCAUGGAAGGGCCAUCGCUCAACGGAUAAAAGCUACCCCGGGGAUAACAGGCUUAUCUCCCCCAAGAGUCCACAUCGACGGGGAGGUUUGGCACCUCGAUGUCGGCUCAUCGCAUCCUGGGGCUGUAGUCGGUCCCAAGGGUUGGGCUGUUCGCCCAUUAAAGCGGUACGCGAGCUGGGUUCAGAACGUCGUGAGACAGUUCGGUCCCUAUCCGUCGCGGGCGCAGGAAAUUUGAGAGGAGCUGUCCUUAGUACGAGAGGACCGGGAUGGACGCACCGCUGGUGUACCAGUUGUUCUGCCAAGGGCAUCGCUGGGUAGCUAUGUGCGGACGGGAUAAGUGCUGAAAGCAUCUAAGCAUGAAGCCCCCCUCAAGAUGAGAUUUCCCAUUCCGCAAGGAAGUAAGAUCCCUGAAAGAUGAUCAGGUUGAUAGGUCUGAGGUGGAAGUGUGGCGACACAUGGAGCUGACAGAUACUAAUCGAUCGAGGACUUAACCAA
RNAcentral lists this ribosomal RNA (2930 nucleotides) under Bacillus velezensis. RNAcentral describes it as "23S ribosomal RNA". It matches the Rfam family "Bacterial large subunit ribosomal RNA". The record is from RNAcentral. Lineage: Bacteria; Bacillati; Bacillota; Bacilli; Caryophanales; Bacillaceae.